Molecule: ribosomal RNA, 219 nt
Filed under: Triticum aestivum (bread wheat)
Lineage: Eukaryota; Viridiplantae; Streptophyta; Magnoliopsida; Poales; Poaceae
Description: partial small subunit ribosomal RNA
Source: RNAcentral
AUGGAGGCCAGCCGGAUCAGUGUGGCGCGACACACCACACCGGAGCUUGCUGCUGUGCUGGUCGUCGACAACGACGCAACUCCGACGGGACCUAGACGCCCAAGAGAGAGAAGGAAGAUGGCGGACAAGGGGAUGGCCAACUGCAUCGACAUCAUCCUCGCCAUCAUCCUGCCGCUGCUCGACGUCUUCCUCAAGUUCGCCUGCGGGAUCGAGUUCUGA